AACGAACGCUGGCGGCAGGCUUAACACAUGCAAGUCGAACGCCCCGCAAGGGGAGUGGCAGACGGGUGAGUAACGCGUGGGAAUCUACCCAGUUCUACGGAACAACUGAGGGAAACUUCAGCUAAUACCGUAUACGCCUACGGGGAAGAUUAUCGGAAUUGGAUGAGCCCGCGUUGGAUUAGCUAGUUGGUGAGGUAACGGCUCACCAAGGCGACGAUCCAUAGCUGGUCUGAGAGGAUGAUCAGCCACACUGGGACUGAGACACGGCCCAGACUCCUACGGGAGGCAGCAGUGGGGAAUAUUGGACAAUGGGCGCAAGCCUGAUCCAGCCAUGCCGCGUGAGUGAUGAAGGCCUUAGGGUGUAAGCUCUUCAGUGGGGACGGAUAAUGACGGUACCCGACAGAAGAAGACCCGGCUAACUUCGUGCCAGCAGCCGC
RNAcentral lists this ribosomal RNA (437 nucleotides) under uncultured bacterium. RNAcentral describes it as "bacterial SSU rRNA". It matches the Rfam family "Bacterial small subunit ribosomal RNA", at positions 29 to 518 of the family's 1533-position model. The record is from RNAcentral.